UGAGCAUACCUAUUCAAUAGAGGGUGUCU
This 29-nucleotide non-coding RNA is filed under the name Mus musculus (house mouse). Lineage: Eukaryota; Metazoa; Chordata; Mammalia; Rodentia; Muridae. The record is from RNAcentral.